Molecule: ribosomal RNA, 302 nt
Filed under: uncultured bacterium
Lineage: Bacteria
Description: partial 16S ribosomal RNA
Rfam family: Bacterial small subunit ribosomal RNA
Source: RNAcentral
GCAGCAGCCGCGGUAAUACGUAGGUGGCAAGCGUUGUCCGGAAUUAUUGGGCGUAAAGGGCUCGCAGGCGGUUUCUUAAGUCUGAUGUGAAAGCCCCCGGCUCAACCGGGGAGGGUCAUUGGAAACUGGGAAACUUGAGUGCAGAAGAGGAGAGUGGAAUUCCAUGUGUAGCGGUGAAAUGCGUAGAGAUGUGGAGGAACACCAGUGGCGAAGGCGACUCUCUGGUCUGUAACUGACGCUGAGGAGCGAAAGCGUGGGGAGCGAACAGGAUUAGAUACCCCAGUAGUCCCUGUCUCUUAUAC